GACGAACGCUGGCGGCGUGCUUAACACAUGCAAGUCGAACGGAAAGGCCCCUUUGGGGGUACUCGAGUGGCGAACGGGGGAGUAACACGUGAGUAACCUGCCCUUGACUUCGGGAUAACUUCAGGAAACUGGGGCUAAUACCGGAUAGGAAUCCUUUCUGCAUGGUGGGGGUUGGAAAGCUUCGGCGGUUUUGGAUUGACUCGCGGCUUAUCAUCUUGUUGGUGGGGUAGUGGCUUACCAAGGCUUUGACGGGUAGCCGGCCUGAGAGGGCGACCGGCCACAGUGGGACUGAGAAAGGGCCCAGACUCCUACGGGAGGCAGCAGUGGGGAAUAUUGCACAAUGGGCGGAGGCGCGUGGCAGAACCGCCGCGUGCGGGAUGACGGCCUUCGCGUUGUAAACCGCUUUCAGCAGGGGCGAAGCUUGUGGUGACGGUACCUGGAGAAGAAGCACCGGCUAACUACGUG
RNAcentral lists this ribosomal RNA (465 nucleotides) under uncultured bacterium. RNAcentral's name for it is "partial 16S ribosomal RNA". It matches the Rfam family "Bacterial small subunit ribosomal RNA", at positions 28 to 507 of the family's 1533-position model. The record is from RNAcentral.